AUCCUUUGAGGACAUCCGAUAAAAUUAGAAUGAUACAGAGAAGAUUAGCAUAUGCCCUACGCAAGGAUGACACGCAUAAAUUGAGAAAUUGUCCAAAUUUUU
Small nuclear RNA from Rosa rugosa (rugosa rose), 102 nucleotides. The record is from RefSeq and is a predicted model, not a curated record. Lineage: Eukaryota; Viridiplantae; Streptophyta; Magnoliopsida; Rosales; Rosaceae.